CUAAGUUCUACAAUAGAGAAAGGAGCAUAAAGCUGGAAUCCACUAAUAAAAGCAUAAAGUGAUACAAGGAAAUCCCAAAUACAAGUGCUAAAGUAGAUACACAGGUGGUCUCUAUACAUGGAUACAAAAUCUCUCUCUCUCUCAACUACAAAAAGAAAGAGUAAACCACCUAGGCAAAGAACCGCUCCUCGCUAGCUAGCUAUGCGAUCCCCUUGCCGCGAUCCCGUGCCUCCGCCGGUGCAGAAUGCUCUGAAAGGAAACCAGAAAACAGGGGCGUGAGAACUAUUAAAAAUAGUUCCCAGUGGGCAAUUACUGACUUCAGUGAACUGCGCCACAANAGGCCCAAAAGCUACAAAAAGAGGUCAGUGACUAACAAUGUAGUAAAGCGAAAGGUAAGUAAAAUGUAACUUACUAUAACAUAGGGUCUCUACUUAGCAUGAUUUGCACAAGCAAUAAAGCAACGAUAUCAUGAAUGUACAUGGAUGUGUAUGACAUGCAUAAGCAUAAAAAUGGAACCAAUCCGAUGUCCUUAAUGCAAAAAUAGUAAAGAUGUCAUUGUUUACUAUUCUAGUCCAAGUCCACUUUAAUAGUUUUAAAGUCCACAUAGCAUGUUCUGUCACUAAGUCCCAAUCAUAUAAGACCCACCCGAAGGCUGUCUGGCCUGCGCCGUGCCUAAUGGCCCCGUGGUAGUCAACAUCCCCACUCUUGGGAUGAGCCUCCCCCACUGCAAUCCACUUCGGCGCCCAAUCCCGCACGGGCGAGCAUAUGUCGCGAUAGCUAUCUCCGGAGUGCCGGCUUGUAGGGAGCGACUCUCACAAGCAUGUGCGAAUGAGCACAAUGGCAAGCAAGCAAUGAUCUGUCUCAAGUACCAAGUCCUCAUGUCUAAAAAUAUGGAAUAUAUCAAGUAUCUCAAUGGCCUAUCUCUAUGUCAUUAUGUCUCUAACAUGGAAUAUAGCAGAUGUACAAUGGCCUAUCAUCAUGUCUCUAAGUUGCAGUUUCAUAGUUUACUAGUUUCAAGUGCCUCUUGAUGACACUUUUUGCUACUAAGUCCAAACAUAGUAUAAUGUUUCCUAUACACGAAUAUGAGCUAAAUUAGCAUACUAGACGAGAAUCCCAUUCGUCCACAUGAACACUCCCCACAUGCAUGAAAAUAACCUUGACUGCUCUACUAUAUAGAGUGAAAUUUAACUUACACAUAAGGCAUGCAUUUUAGGUGUUCUAAAAUUCACAUAAAUUUCAAUUAGCAUAGAAAUGCAUUUAAAAAUACUUUACGAAGAGUUUAGAAAGCAUAGGGGCCAUUUCGCCCCAUUUUCAUGAAGUCAAACCCACCAACGUUAAACGAAACCCUUCGUUUGCUCUGACGAAGGUGUCCUCUAGCCUCCUAGUAC
RNAcentral lists this long non-coding RNA (1388 nucleotides) under Ananas comosus (pineapple). RNAcentral describes it as "long non-coding RNA (ACOM_LNC039347)". Lineage: Eukaryota; Viridiplantae; Streptophyta; Magnoliopsida; Poales; Bromeliaceae. The record is from RNAcentral.